UUGGAGGGCAAGUCUGGUGCCAGCAGCCGCGGUAAUUCCAGCUCCAAUAGCGUAUAUUAAAGUUGUUGCGGUUAAAAAGCUCGUAGUUGAAUUUCGAGACCGGUUUAUUGGUCGUGCUUUUGUACGUACUGGUAUUAUUGGUUUCUCCUUUCUGACGAAUCAUAAUGCCAUUAAUUUGGUGUUUUGGGGAAUCAGGACUGUUACUUUGAAAAAAUUAGAGUGUUUAAAGCAGGCUCACGCUUGAAUACAUUAGCAUGGAAUAACGAAAUAGGACGUUUGAUUUUAUUUUGUUGGUUUCUAGGAUCGACGUAAUGAUUAAUAGGGAUAGUUGGGGGCAUUAGUAUUCAAUUGUCAGAGGUGAAAUUCUUGGAUUUAUUGAAGACUAACUACUGCGAAAGCAUUUGCCAAGGAUGUUUUCAUUAAUCAAGAACGAAAGUUAGGGGAUCGAAGACGAUCAGAUACCGUCGUAGUCUUAACCAUAAACUAUGCCGACUAGGGAUCGGAUGAUGUUAAUUUUUUAAUGACUCAUUCGGCGCCUUACGGGAAAC
Molecule: ribosomal RNA, 548 nt
Filed under: uncultured Glomeromycotina
Lineage: Eukaryota; Fungi; Glomeromycota
Description: SSU rRNA
Rfam family: Eukaryotic small subunit ribosomal RNA
Source: RNAcentral